Molecule: ribosomal RNA, 374 nt
Filed under: uncultured organism
Description: partial 16S ribosomal RNA
Rfam family: Bacterial small subunit ribosomal RNA
Source: RNAcentral
GGAAGGUGCAAGCGUUAAUCGGAAUUACUGGGCGUAAAGCGCGCGUAGGCGGCUAGAUAAGUCGGGUGUGAAAGCCCUGGGCUCAACCUGGGGACUGCAUUCGAUACUGUCUAGCUAGAGUGUGGUAGAGGGAGGCGGAAUUCCGCAUGUAGCGGUGAAAUGCGUAGAGAUGCGGAGGAACACCAAUGGCGAAGGCAGCCUUCUGGACCAACACUGACGCUGAGGCGCGAAAGCGUGGGGGGAGCAAACAGGAUUAGAUACCCUGGUAGUCCACGCCCGUAAACGAUGUCAACUAGCCGUUGGGAGCAUUUUGGCUCUUGGUGGCGCAGCUAACGCGAUAAGUUGACCGCCUGGGGAGUACGGUCGCAAGAUUA